AUGAUUAAGAUUUGUAUCAUAAACUGGAAGAGUUGGAUGCCUGGAGCUAUCAGAACCACCUACAAAUCACAUUGUUCUUUGUCUUUUCCAGGUGAGUCAGUGCAGCGACAUGCGGUGGGGCUGGCUCCCGCGGGGGACCCGGCCUGGGCGCUCACCGCCAUCCUGAAGCUGCUGAAGCCGCUGGCGCUUAAUAAGGGUAUUUUGAUCGUUAAACGUAAUUGCUUGCUUUUCAUACUGAUGCCAAUCCGUGGGGCAGGGGCAGCUUUGGUGUUUGACUCGUCUGCGUUCGAGGAACAGCCCCUGGAAACGCGCCGCUCCCCAAAAUAAAGUCAGGAGGUGACUCAGAGUUGGUGUCUGGCUGUCUACACGGCCCACGUUUUCUUGGAACAAAGGCGAGCAGGAGCUAGACGCAAACCUCCCCUGUGGGGUGCCCGCGGGGACACAGUCCCCGGCCUCUGCCUCAGCCCCCGGAUGUGCUGCCUCUCCCCGAACCUGCGAGGGAGGCUCUGCUCCUGACCAGUCCGGUUACAGUUGGGAAACUGAGGCACGGGGACCCAUUCACUCCACGGAGGCUUCCACCUGGCCUGAGGGCUGGGCCGCGGCCCUGGGUUCCCUGCCUGCACCGCGUCCUGACUCCCGUCUCCCCUCGCUCCCAAACCGCCUGCACCCGGCCUCCUGAGAGCCCAAGACGCCUGCAACCCAGUCUUUUCUGAACUGUGCGGAGGAAGGAGAGUACAUGAGUCCUUGGGAAGGGCCAGCGUCACACAGGUGCUCUGGGUGCGGGGGUGCUGAAGGUGCUGCGGGUGCUGAGAGUGCUCCGGGUGCUGCGGGGCCAUGGGGGUGAGGGUGCUGCGGGUGCUAUGAGUGCUCCAGGUGCUGCGGGGGCAUGGGGUGCAGGUGCUGAGAGUGCUCUUGGUGCUGAGGGGGUGUGGGGUGCGGGUGCUGAGGGUGUGGCGGGUGCUGAGAGUGCUCCGGGUGCUGCGGGGGUGUGGGGUGCGGGUACUGAGGGUGCUGCAGGGGUGUGGGGGUGCGGGUGUUGUGGGUGCUGAGGGGGUGUGGGGUGCAGGUGCUGAGAGUACUGCAGGGGCUGUGAGUGCACAGGUGCUGCAGCGGCCAUGGGGAUGAGGGUGCUGAGGGUGCUGAGGGUGCUGCAGGUGCUGAGAGUGCUCCAGGUGCUGCGGGGGCGUGGGGCAUGGGUCCUGAGGGUGCUGUGAGUGCUCCAGGUGCUGUGGGGGCAUGGGGUGCAGGUGCUAAGGGUGCUGCAGGUGCUGCAGGGGCGUGGGGUGCAGGGACUGCAGGUGCAGGGCCGUUCUGGGUGCCCGGAGACACUCUGGACUCAGGCGUGCAGGCUUGGUUCAGUCCCUGAGCUCUGGUGUGGCGUUCCCCACUCCUGCC
RNAcentral lists this long non-coding RNA (1395 nucleotides) under Canis lupus familiaris (dog). RNAcentral describes it as "lncRNA (ENSCAFG00030021077.1)". The record is from RNAcentral. Lineage: Eukaryota; Metazoa; Chordata; Mammalia; Carnivora; Canidae.